This 450-nucleotide ribosomal RNA is filed under the name Triticum aestivum (bread wheat). RNAcentral describes it as "partial small subunit ribosomal RNA". Lineage: Eukaryota; Viridiplantae; Streptophyta; Magnoliopsida; Poales; Poaceae. The record is from RNAcentral.
AUGGAGGAGGUCAACAAGGCUCUGGCUGAUCUGACGGCGGCGAUCAGCGCCAUGUCCGCCCAGAUCAGCGAGAUCCACCCCGUGCUCGAGCUCCAAGGGUGGCGUCCGGCAAUCGAGCAAUCCGUCAACGAGCUGCGUGCGGAGGUGACCGAUCUCCGCCAACACAUCCAGGCGCCGCGCCCGGCGUCCGAUGAGGCGCCCGAUCCGGUGCUGCAGAAGGAGACGGCGCCCCCGAUCCGCCUCUCCGACCUGCCGCCUCUACUUCCGGCCACGGCCGGCUCGUCCCUCCCUCGACCAGGCGAGCAACCACAUGCUCGCGGUGACGGCAGUCACGGGCCCGGUGGCCACGGCGCUACACAUGAAAUUCGGGGGAAAUCGGUGGGUGAAGUUCACACCCCACGAUUGCCUCCGGCCACUGGAAGAAGUGGUGGACGCAUUUCGGCGGGAUGA